AUUGAACGCUGGCGGCAUGCCUAACACAUGCAAGUCGAACGCGAACGUACCUUCGGGUGCUAGUAGAGUGGCGGACGGGUGAGUAACGCGUAGGAAUCUGCCCAGUAGUGGGGGAUAACUCGGAGAAAUCCGAGCUAAUACCGCAUACGCCCCAUGGGGGAAAGGCUUCGGCCGCUAUUGGAUGAGCCUGCGUCAGAUUAGCUUGUUGGUGGGGUAAUGGCCUACCAAGGCAACGAUCCGUAGCUGGUCUGAGAGGAUGAUCAGCCACACUGGGACUGAGACACGGCCCAG
Molecule: ribosomal RNA, 291 nt
Filed under: uncultured bacterium
Lineage: Bacteria
Description: partial 16S ribosomal RNA
Rfam family: Bacterial small subunit ribosomal RNA
Source: RNAcentral